Molecule: ribosomal RNA, 408 nt
Filed under: uncultured microorganism
Description: bacterial SSU rRNA
Rfam family: Bacterial small subunit ribosomal RNA
Source: RNAcentral
CAGCAGCCGCGGUAAUACGUAGGGUGCGAGCGUUAAUCGGAUUUACUGGGCGUAAAGCGUGCGCAGGCGGCCCGUUAAGACAGGUGUGAAAUCCCUGGGCUCAACCUAGGAAUUGCGCUUGUGACUGGCGGGCUCGAGUACGGGAGAGGGGGGUGGAAUUCCUGGUGUAGCAGUGAAAUGCGUAGAGAUCAGGAGGAACACCGAUGGCGAAGGCAGCCCCCUGGGCCUGUACUGACGCUCAUGCACGAAAGCGUGGGGAGCAAACAGGAUUAGAUACCCUGGUAGUCCACGCCCUAAACGAUGGGUACUAGCCGUUUGGUGCGCGAUAGCGCUGAGUGGCGAAGCUAACGCGUGAAGUACCCCGCCUGGGGAGGACGGCCGCAAGGUUGAAACUGAAAGGAAUGGCGG